RNAcentral lists this ribosomal RNA (279 nucleotides) under uncultured bacterium. RNAcentral describes it as "partial 16S ribosomal RNA". It matches the Rfam family "Bacterial small subunit ribosomal RNA", at positions 506 to 784 of the family's 1533-position model. The record is from RNAcentral.
UGCCAGCAGCCGCGGUAAUACAGAGGGUGCAAACGUUGCUCGGAAUUAUUGGGCGUAAAGCGCAUGUAGGCGGUCUUGUAAGUCGACUGUGAAAGCCCAUGGCUCAACCAUGGAAGUGCAUUCGAUACUGCAAGACUCGAAUCCCGGAGAGGGUGGCGGAACUCCCAGUGUAGAGGUGAAAUUCGUAGAUAUUGGGAAGAACACCGGUGGCGAAGGCGGCCACCUGGACGGGUAUUGACGCUGAGAUGCGAAAGCGUGGGGAGCAAACAGGAUUAGAUA